Molecule: long non-coding RNA, 6852 nt
Organism: Phyllostomus discolor (pale spear-nosed bat)
Lineage: Eukaryota; Metazoa; Chordata; Mammalia; Chiroptera; Phyllostomidae
Exons: 9
Source: RefSeq, a predicted model, not a curated record
AGCAGACGUGUGAGCAAGGCGGGGCUAGCACAGGAGACCCAGUGUACCGCAGAGGACCCCGGGAACGAGGCGGGGCUGGCUUAGAGGACCCAAGGCACAGCGAACCUAGGCACUGCGGCAGAGGGCAGGAGCAACGCGGCGCUGGUUUAGGGUACCUAAGGUACGGCGGCGGACCACGAGCGUGAGGUGGCACUGGCUUAGGGGACCCACAGCACAGUGGCGGACCGCGGCACGGCGGGGGACCGCGGCAGGGCAGCAGGCCGUGGGCAUGCGGCGGAGCUGGCUUAGGAGACCCGCGGCAUGGCGGCGGACCACGGGCGUGAGGCGGGGCUGACUUAGGGGAUCCGAGACUUUGAGCACACCCCAGAGACUAACCAGUUCCGGAAGUGUUCUGAUCGGGAGGCCGGACACCUCUGCAUCAGUGAUGGUCACUCAGAUACAGCAGAAGCCACUGGCUGGAUCCAAAGAUGAUAUCUGUGAGUGCAGAAGGGUGAGAAGACUUCCGCAGUUCAGGCAGCUAGUAAGUAGGACAUCUGGGAUUGGGCCUGAUUCAGUCUGACUGCAAUGCGUAUACCCAGCCACGCUACUCCAAUGCCAUCCUAGGAAGAGCCAUCUCCCACUGGGUAUUUCCCAGUGGUGAGCGUUUGGGUGAGCCUAGUUCUUAGAGGAAGUCAUUCCUGAUGGUGAGAGCAAUUUCUGAGCAGCUUCCAUGCUAUUUUGGAGGACUAAACUUCUCUCCUGCCAUGAGUGAAGUCUCAUGCAGGACACUCCUGUCAGUAAUAUAAGUGUCCACUGCAGAACAAUAAUCAAAACUUCUUAUUUCAAAGUAAAAAUGUCUCCUCUUUACACAUCUGCCCCAGGCAGGGAGGUUUAUGGGGCGAUGUGGUAGGACUGGGGGAGGGGAGGAUAAGAUUGAAUUCUUGUCUUUUUCCUGAGCUCCUUCUGCUCUUGCCCAAGUUGCUGGCUCCAAGGUUAAGGUCUGGCCAAUUCAGUUUCUGGUAAGAGUCCUUCCUGGCUUUCAUAUGCCAACUUCUCUCUAUGUCCUCAUCUGGCCUUUCUUUGAUGUAUGCACAUGGAGAGAGAGAACAAGCCCUCUGGUAUAUCUUCUUAUGAGGACACUAGUCCUAUUAGAUCAGGGCCCCUCUCUUAUGACCUCAUUUAACCGUAAUUCCUUAAAGGCCCCAUCUCCAAAUGCAGCCACACUGGAUAGAUUAGGGCUUCAAUGUAUGAAUCUGGGGGGCGGAGCACACACAUUGUUUCCAUAACAAGCUUCCAUAGCACCCAUGGCACACACUGCCAAUCAAUCGCAACACUUCUUCCAACCGAAUUUUGAUGAGCCUCAGAACACUCUGUUCAGCCUUCUCAAGGUCAAAGUCUCUUGGACCUGGGAUUCAUAUGUGUGUCUUAGUUUCCCCCAGGGAGCUACAGCCAUGAGAGACUUUAAUUCAGAGGAGAGAAAUAUGAGAAAGUGGACAUUGCCAGUGAAGGUGGCAAGGCAUAGCACAAAGACCUCAGGCCCUACUACUGGUUGAGGCCCCAGCUGCUAUAUGUUGCGCAAACCAAAGUGCUGUGGGUGUUGACCAGAUAUGUGAUUUGAGUAUUGUUCUUGGGUGAAAAGCUUUCCAACUUGGCUUUUUGACCCUCUAAGAGAGUCUUAGUUACUCAAUACAUUUAAUACAUCGGUUUCCUGCUUAAAGUAGUUAGGGAGGGUUCUGUUGUUUCAAGGACAAAUGCAACUGAUACUUGCAUUUUAUGGGCUGAUACGCCCAGCUCUUUGCAGUUUCCUAAAUGUGCAAGGCGGCUCUAUGCAGAUCUGUUGUAUCCCAGUGGCUCCCUUUGUCCAAGAUACUCUCUCCACUCAGACCACUUCGGAGGCUUUUAGCUACAAGUAACAGAAAACCUAUCAGAGAAUGGCUUAAACAAUUACAGUUUAUUUUGUCCAUAAAAAAGAAAUCUUUAUGGGUCUUGAGAAAAUAGGAUUACUAUCUUGAAAGAUAAGAUUACUGUAUGAUACUCAGUAAUUCUACUUUUGGGUAUAUACCCAGAAUAACUGAAGGCACCAUCUCAAAGAGAGUUUUACACCCUUGUUCACAGCAGCAUCAUUCACAAAAGUCAAAAGUUAGAAGCAAUCCAAGUGUUCAUUGAAAGAUGCAUGAUGGCAAAAAGAAGCCACCUAGAAGACAACUAACAACAGCCCUGGCCUGGGGACGUCACUUUGGGCAUCUCCCCUCCUGUUGGGUCUACAGUCACAAGGGUCCUUCUGCUUUGCUGCCUUACCGUAGAGGUUUGCUGCAUUCCUUUGAGCCUACAGAUAAGGUGCUACUCAAGACUUGGAAGACAGGAUCUCUAGAAAGCCAACUAGGGGAAAAGUGGACUGAACCUUGGGACGUGCUCCUCACCAUCCCCACCACAGUGAAACUGGCAGAAAUAAAACCUUGGAUCCAUCACACAGGGUAAAGAAAGCACCAGAGGAGCGAUGGACUGCUGAACAUCAAGAAGACCUGAAAGUCAUCUUCUGAAUACAAUGACUUACAUUCUUUAAUUACUUUUUGCUUAACCCCAUGUUAUGGAGAACUUAUUCCUUUCAAAUGGGAUGAAAAUAUUUGGGUAUAUUCAGCAGAAAUGUUCUAAACAUCUCUGAAUUUUGCCUCGCAGGAAGAACUUAUGUUGAACCAACUUUCACUUCAUAUCUUGUAGGUGUUUGUACUCCCCUAGAAAGCCUUUGAAAUUAUACUUAGUUUAGGGAUAUCAAUAAGAAAAUAACCUACUCUGAUAGUUAUAACUGGGGACCUGUGGUAACUCUAAAGGACAGGGAAAUGUUUUCCUUAAAAGUCACUAACAUAGCUCCAGCUGGAGAGUGUGCAAUUUUGGUCAACUGUACUAAAAACCGUCUUGUGCUUUAUCAGAGCUUGCUGUUGCAUGCAAUGUGACCCCUUAUGUGGAUCUGCAAUUAAAUGUAUUCCUAAGCCCCCUACCAGAGGGUCUAAUGCUAAGAUAUGUACUCAACAGCAAAAUGAAUACUUCCAUAUGAAACUGAUCUCACAGAAAUAAGAUAGUUUAGACUAACAGUGGGGGAAAGGUGGGAGACUCAAGAGUUGGAAAAUUUUAGUUUCAGGUAACAGCUCAUAAUCAGUGCACGUACAAGCUAUUGUUCUGGGAACUGAAGGUAUGACCCAUCCUGAUUCCAGGAGACCGUGAGCAGUUCCACCUUUGUGCCUCAGGAGGCCUGCAAGCCGUCAAGAUGGUAUCAGAGCCACCAUGCUCCAGGGUGAGACACCCACUGCCCACGGCACAGAUGGAAGAAUGCAGCUGCUUUUAUCUGAUUGACUUUUUCCCUGAGUUCCAAACCCCUUACCUACACUUCUUGUAAAACUGGUCAGUUUAAAAUGGAAUUUAAGACCAUCUGUCAGGGUACAAACCUGCUGUCUUCUCAAAUUACUGACCACAUGAAUAAAGCUCCCAUAAAGAUUCAAAAAAGAAAAAAAAAGAAUAAGACAGAUCCAUAUGACCCACUAUGGAAGGUUCUCCAUGAUAUAUUGUUAAAUAAACAAUAAAAUAUCAAAUGCUAUGUGCAUUGUGUUUCAUUUGUGUGAAAAAAGAAACAGGAAAUACGUAAGUUCAUAGGUCCACUUAGGCUCAGAUGUGUGGGGGAUACCUGUGGAGGGCUGCCCGAGCUCUGCAGCAGCGAGCACCUCCAAGGAGACACCUGGGGACAAGAGGGAUGCUCGUGUUUCUCUGAGUACCCUUUCAUACUGUUUGAGAAAAAAUUUUUUACAGUACACACAUACUGGCUCUUUACUACAUACAUAAUACAUAAGCAUAUACUAAUGUGUUUCCACACAGCCUGCUUUCCACUCCUAUUAAGUACAAAGCAGUUGUUUGCCCUAACCAUGAGAGUUUCUGGAAAUUGGAGUGAUAGGAGUAGGAAGAUCUUUAUAAAUGUCCUCACUGCUGGAGUCACUAACUCUCAUGUGUUUGCCUUCACCUGUAGGAGUUGUCGAACGAUCAGAUGGGGCUACGGGAAGUGAGGGCCCCGAGCUCCCUGCACAGUGGAGUGGGGACAGGGAGGCCGGAAAGGCUGUGGUCUGAGCGGCAGAACGCUGGCACCUGAGGUUGAGGAACUGCCAGUAACUGGGCUCUCGUUUCCUCUGUGGAUUCUCAUCACUCACAGUGAAGUCCUUGAACUUGGGGUUUCUGCAUCUAUUAAAUGGUGACAGCAAUAUCUUCUUUCUAGGUUCUUCAGAGGAAUAGGGAUGAAAGCAUCUGGCACAGUGCCUGGCUCAGCUGUAGCUGAAUGCAGCGUGUUUUGCAGUCACCCUGACUGACUGCUCCUCAACGUGUCCGAGAAGGAGGUGCGUAAUCAAUCUUAGAGUGUCCCGGAUGAUGUUGGAUGAAUGUCCUGGGUUUAAAUUCAGACUCUGAUGUUUAGAGGAGGUUAUUAACAGAAGUGUCUUUGCUCUCGUUUGACAUUAGUCUUAGGCUUUAUUCCCUUCAGUGUGGACAUCUUUGCCACCAAUUGGAGAGAACCAGCCUGAGACUGAAGCCAACACAAAGGAUCUGAAAGUGGUAGGGCAGAGGAAUAAGGGAGUAAGGUGUGGUUUCUAAAGGAAAUUCUGGUGCUUUCACCUUACAAGUAGGAAAGGACUCAGCGGGAAAGCCCAUAGCUACCCACCAUGCUUAGCGUGAUACACUGGGGUAGGGGGGUGAACGGUAGCAGGGUGGGGAGAGGGCUGGAAGGACUCAAACAGGCCAUUGCUCGUACUUAGAGUGGGCUCUGUGAAAUGCCUUGUGUGGGCAGCUGGAAGGUGAACGAUGAGCUGGGUUCCCCAGGAGGGUCUUCAGAGAAAUGAGACUAGAGGGAGUCUUUGUGAAAUAAUUAAAGGACUUCAGUAGCAGUGUGGAGAUGGGGCCCAUGGUCAUCCCCCCUCCAUUCUCCUAGCCUGGACUUUGCACAGCCUGGCCAGACUUCCAUAUGACCUAGAUCUUUCCUCACUCCCUCAGGAGUGGGUGGUGGAAAGGUGACAGUCCCACUCACUAGUGGUUCAAACUUAAAUCAGCCAGUUAGUACUUCUGCCCUGGCUGCUGGGGCCCUUUGCCUUCCCAAAGAGCCUCUUCCCUAUUAGGGUGACUAGUUAUCCCAGUUUUCCCAGGAUUGUCUCUGUUUAGCACUGAAAGUCCCACAUCCUGGGAAAACCCUCUAUCCCAGACAAACCUGCUGGCUGGUCACCCCAGAAUGGAGAAUCAGCACUCCUACCUAGUAGGUGACUCAUGUUUGAGAGCGCCGUGCUGAUGCUGGAAGCACAGGACUAAAUAUGUCAGCUCUGGGCUGUGCCUGGAGGAACUGGGUGUCUGACAGCAGUGGUGGGAUCGAAAUGGACCAUUUCAGAGAGACGUGGUGUGACAGAGACAAAGGCAAGCAGAGGUCCGAGGGGCUGUCUCAUACAGUACUGUAAGGAAGAAGCUGUGGAGGGGCUUGUGAACUAGGCAUUGGUAAAUGAUGGUGUUUGUGGAUGGGAGAGGGUGGGGGUGGAAACGAACACUGCAAUAGGGCCAGGAGCUUGCAGAGACAUAGUGUGAUGAAAACCUGGCACUUGGGGGAGUAGUGACAGCUCCUCUAAUUCCCACCAAACAUUUGCAGGGCCAAGGGCAAGUGCACAGACAGAAGCCUAUAGAUCAUGUGUCUAAAUAUUUAAAAAUUAAAUCAGGCACAAGCUCUUAAAUAGACAUCCUCUCUUCUUUUCCCUUGACAAACACACUGUCAUACCACUCUGGGAUGCCAGAGUAGAGACUGGAAUUCCCAGGCUCUCUGUUGCUCUGGCUGGAAGGAGACCAGCCAAGAAGGGCUGGGCCCAGGUCUGGCUCCCAUACCUUCUUCCUACCCCCAAAUCUGCUUCUUUCUGUACUACUAGGGGUCUCACACACACGGCCCCUGACACAGCAUCACAAACUGUCCAUGUCCCUUGCAAACAGCUCGCUUGUUCCCGGGGCCGAGGACAAUGACACUGGUUGGGGGAGGGGGUGCGGGGAAGAGGCCUGAGCAGGCCCUGGAAGUGGGCAGGGAAGUCUCAGGUCGAGUAUGGUUUGGGAUGGGUACAGACUCGGGGUGGGCACGUUCCCGAGGGCCCUGCAGACUCUGCCCCGUGGAGUGGGGGGCUCUGGGUAAGGCCAGGGAGGGGCUUUCCUGCCUGGGUGUUAGAAUGAUACUGAGUGGUAAGGAGUUCCCAAUGGCUGGAAUGCUGUCAUAUUCAAGUAAACAGUAGUGGUGGAGGCUGGUUCCUAUUACUAUGAGAGAUGACAAAAUUAAUGGCUCCACAUUUUGUUUUUUAGGAAGAGAAAUGUCAGAAAUGACCUGGGAAAUGGCCUGCCGCUCUUCUUACCCCGUUUGUGCAAAAGUUGGGCAUGUCCAAGUUGAUGUGUGGAAGCUGGCCUUUUGGUCCAAUAAAACUGAGAAGCUAGAAAUGAACAGGACCUAAGCUACACACCCUCUGGGGUUGUCAGAAUGGGAAACUGGCCACUUGCAGAGAAAAGAAGGGAGAGAGAGGGCAAGGGAAAGAAACACCAAUGCAAGUGAGAAGCACCAAUUGGUUGCCUCUUGCACACAGACCUACCAGGGAUCCCACAUGCCUGGAAUGGGGAGCAAACCUGCAAGCCAGGGCAAUAUCCCAAGAUAUAAGAAGAGCCAAACGCCCAAAGUAUGGAGGCCUCAGGAAGAUUUGCAAUGAAUCUGGGGAAGCUGAGCCUGACACGGCCUCCUAGAAGCUGCCAUUGGCUGUUGGGAAGGACUGGAUGAAAGAGUGUGCAAAGACCACUGUCAAGUGCCUGGUACUCCACAAAUGUGGUUUGUUUCCUGUG